This 324-nucleotide ribosomal RNA is filed under the name uncultured bacterium. RNAcentral describes it as "bacterial SSU rRNA". It matches the Rfam family "Bacterial small subunit ribosomal RNA", at positions 32 to 327 of the family's 1533-position model. The record is from RNAcentral.
AAUCAACGCUGGCGGCGUGCCUCAGACAUGCAAGUCGAACGCGAAAGUUCCCUUCGGGGAGCAAGUAGAGUGGCGCACGGGUGAGUAACACGUAGGUAAUUUGCCUUCGGGUGGGGAAGUAACAGUCGGAAACGACUGCUAAUACCGCAUAAUGCAGCGGCUCGACAUCGAGACAGUUGUUAAAGCGGGGGAGUCCUUCGGGACCGUCGCGCCUGAAGAGAAGCCUGCGGCAGAUUAGCUAGUUGGUUGAGGUAAUAGGCCCGACCAAGGCUACGAUCUGUAACCGGCCUGAGAGGGCGGUCGGUCACACUGACACUGACAUAC